AUACUAAAAACUUGCUCCUAACUAACAACCAACAAUUCAACUAACCAUAACUCUAAGAGAAGUAUCAGCGACAGAACCUCAAGAAAGGAGCUAUAGAGAAAAAGUAUCGCAAGAGAACGUUCUCAAUAAACCAAAGAAGAGAUCAACCCUCGUCCCUUGUGUAUCAUGGCUUAGCAACCCAACCAAUUAAAUUACCCUUCCCGAACCCUAGUGAGCUACUAAACCCCAGCUUAGAGCCAAUCAGUUCUUGUAGCAAAAAGAUUGAAAGAGGCUUUAGUAGAGACUAGAUAUCUAUCGCACUAGGUAAUAGCUGGUUUCUAGGGAAACAUAUCAAAGUAUGGGAGAGUUCUCACUCUACCUCCUGUCCAGGGGACAACCUCUAGACAGUAUAAAUUAUGCACACAUACAACCUUUACCAUAAUCUAGGCUUAAAAACAGCCCCGAACAAAAAACAAGUUUCAUUAUAUUGAAAAAGACAGGUAUAAUUGUAAAUAAGCAACUUUAAAGUACCUAGAAACUCCGACCAACACCUAUCGGAAGAUAUUCUGCUAAGACGAGUAUAGUACCUUACUACCCAAAAGACCUGUAACGGUACAACACAAUUACAGAUAAGGAACUCGGCAAACCCAAGCUCCGACUGUUCAUCACAAACAUUGCCAUUCGCCAUCAUGAAAGGUAAAGCCUGCCCAGUGGAAUCUCAACGGCUGCGG
RNAcentral lists this ribosomal RNA (710 nucleotides) under Plumatella sp. 2 HH-2013. RNAcentral describes it as "partial 16S ribosomal RNA". The record is from RNAcentral. Lineage: Eukaryota; Metazoa; Bryozoa; Phylactolaemata; Plumatellidae.